CUACGGGUCGCUCCAGUGGGGAAUAUUGCACAAUGGGCGAAAGCCUGAUGCAGCAACGCCGCGUGAGGGACGACGGCCUUCGGGUUGUAAACCUCUUUUAGCAGGGAAGAAGCGAAAGUGACGGUACCUGCAGAAAAAGCACCGGCUAACUACGUGCCAGCAGCCGCGGUAAUACGUAGGGUGCAAGCGUUGUCCGGAAUUAUUGGGCGUAAAGAGCUCGUAGGCGGUUUGUCGCGUCUGCUGUGAAAAUCCGAGGCUCAACCUCGGACCUGCAGGGGGUACGGGCAAACUAGAGUGCGGUAGGGGAGAUUGGAAUUCCUGGUGUAGCGGUGGAAUGCGCAGAUAUCAGGAGGAACACCAAUGGCGAAGGCAGAUCUCUGGGCCGUAACUGACGCUGAGGAGCGAAAGCGUGGGGAGCGAACAGGAUUAGAUACCCCUGUAGUC
Molecule: ribosomal RNA, 444 nt
Filed under: uncultured bacterium
Lineage: Bacteria
Description: partial 16S ribosomal RNA
Rfam family: Bacterial small subunit ribosomal RNA
Source: RNAcentral